CCUACGGGAGGCAGCAGUAGGGAAUCUUCCACAAUGGGCGAAAGCCUGAUGGAGCAACGCCGCGUGGGUGAAGAAGGUCUUCGGAUCGUAAAACCCUGUUGUUAGAGAAGAAAGUGCGUGAGAGUAACUGUUCACGUUUCGACGGUAUCUAACCAGAAAGCCACGGCUAACUACGUGCCAGCAGCCGCGGUAAUACGUAGGUGGCAAGCGUUAUCCGGAUUUAUUGGGCGUAAAGGGAACGCAGGCAGUCUUUUAAGUCUGAUGUGAAAGCCUUCGGCUUAACCGGAGUAGUGCAUUGGAAACUGGGAGACUUGAGUGCAGAAGAGGAGAGUGGAACUCCAUGUGUAGCGGUGAAAUGCGUAGAUAUAUGGAAGAACCCCAGUGGCGAAAGCGGCUCUCUGGGCUGUAACUGACGCUGAGGUUCGAAAGCGUGGGUAGCAAACAGGAUUAGAUACCCGGGUAGUC
Molecule: ribosomal RNA, 465 nt
Filed under: uncultured bacterium
Lineage: Bacteria
Description: partial 16S ribosomal RNA
Rfam family: Bacterial small subunit ribosomal RNA
Source: RNAcentral